Molecule: long non-coding RNA, 767 nt
Filed under: Homo sapiens (human)
Lineage: Eukaryota; Metazoa; Chordata; Mammalia; Primates; Hominidae
Description: long non-coding RNA NONHSAT158037
Source: RNAcentral
UAUAUACUGUGGACUUUUACAAAACAGCUUAGCUUCUGGGAGGUCUGGGGUAUAGCUGGGCCUUGGGAACACCUGGAACCAAGCUUUGAGUGCCCUCAAGAGUCUCAUGGUUUAUCCAUUUUUCUGCCUGCCCUGGCUUCCUUCUCUUUGAAAUCAGAGGAAUUUUUCUCCAAAAGUCUGCUAGUAGACCUGAGUUUGAAUUAUAAGAGUUUCCUGAUUCCAGUUCUAAAAUUCUAGGAAAAGGACACUGAUUGACUUAGCAUGGGCCAUGUGCCUGCUUAUAGACCAAUUAAGUAAUACGAGGAAAUGAAUAUGACAGUAACAAUAUCUUGGCUCCGGUGACCACCCUUGGUGGUCAGUCAGUUGUAUCCAGGAAGUGGAGUCAUAGCAGCUUCCAUCAUAACCAUGUGUGAAAUUGGCCAAGUUACUUCAUUUUUCUGUGCCUUUCUCCUUUACUUCAUCUGUAAAAUGAGAUUAAAUUGUUCCCCUCUCAUAGAGUUAUUUGAGGAUUUUAUGAGAAAAUGCAACAUUCUUUGUAUAGUGGAAAACUGGAAACAAUAUGAUAUAAACAUUCAUUACUGUAUUAGGCUGUUUGUGCAUUGCUAUAAAGAAAUACUUAACCUGACCAACAUGGCAAAACCCCAUCUCUACUAAAAAUACAAAAAUUAGCCGGGCGUGGUAGUGCACAUCUGUAAUCCCAGCUACUCAGCAGGCUGAGGUGGGAGAAAUCACUUGAACCCAGGAGGUGGAGGCUGCAGUGAGCUGAG